Molecule: long non-coding RNA, 525 nt
Organism: Panicum virgatum (switchgrass)
Lineage: Eukaryota; Viridiplantae; Streptophyta; Magnoliopsida; Poales; Poaceae
Exons: 2
Source: RefSeq, a predicted model, not a curated record
UAAGAGACCAGUUAGAAACCUUCAUUAUUCAUGUUAGAAGAGUUGAGGCAUUCAGAGCUUGUUAUGACCUUGCAAGCCUAGCAAUGAAAAUGGUUGAACUUAAGAGGCAUGAAAUAUUUCCCUUGGUUUAUCGCCUAAUUGAGCUGGCAUUGCUGCUACCAGUAGCAACUGCAUCAGUUGAAAGAGCCUUUUCAGCCAUGAAGAUUAUUAAAACUGAGUUGCGGAACAAGAUGUCCGAUGGUUGGCUUAAUGACUUGAUGGUGGUGUAUAUUGAGCGGGAGAUAUUUAAAGGAAUUGAUCUUGAAUCUACCAAGAAGGCUUUUCAGAAGAAAAAAGAUAGAAAUAUGCAAUUGCCAAAGUCUCCUAGACGCAACUAAUAAUAAAUAUACCGCUUCUUUGGUCCAAUUGUUGAUUUGAUGCGUACUUUACGUGUUUUUCUUCAUUUGAGGUACUUCUAAACCAUAUUUUUGUUGUGAACCUUUAUUUCCGUAUAAUAUUUGAACAUAAUCUAGUAAUCCACCGCCA